RNAcentral lists this ribosomal RNA (1590 nucleotides) under Weissella confusa. Its description in RNAcentral is "16S ribosomal RNA". Lineage: Bacteria; Bacillati; Bacillota; Bacilli; Lactobacillales; Lactobacillaceae. The record is from RNAcentral.
UACGGAUUACCCUUGGUUACGACUUCRCCCUAAUCAUCUGUCCCACCUUAGGACGGCUGGCUCCCGAAGGUUACCCCACCAGCUUUGGGUGUUACAAACUCUCAUGGUGUGACGGGCGGUGUGUACAAGACCCGGGAACGUAUUCACCGCGGCGUGCUGAUCCGCGAUUACUAGCGAUUCCGACUUCAUGUAGGCGAGUUGCAGCCUACAAUCCGAACUGAGACGUACUUUAAGAGAUUAGCUCACCCUCGCGGGUUGGCAACUCGUUGUAUACGCCAUUGUAGCACGUGUGUAGCCCAGGUCAUAAGGGGCAUGAUGAUUUGACGUCAUCCCCACCUUCCUCCGGUUUGUCACCGGCAGUCUCACUAGAGUGCCCAACUGAAUGCUGGCAACUAGUAAUAAGGGUUGCGCUCGUUGCGGGACUUAACCCAACAUCUCACGACACGAGCUGACGACAACCAUGCACCACCUGUCACCUUGUCCCCGAAGGGAACGCUCCAUCUCUGGAGUUGUCAAGGGAUGUCAAGACCUGGUAAGGUUCUUCGCGUUGCUUCGAAUUAAACCACAUGCUCCACCGCUUGUGCGGGCCCCCGUCAAUUCCUUUGAGUUUCAACCUUGCGGUCGUACUCCCCAGGCGGAGUGCUUAAUGCGUUAGCUGCGGCACUUAAGGGCGGAAACCCUCAAACACCUAGCACUCAUCGUUUACGGUGUGGACUACCAGGGUAUCUAAUCCUGUUUGCUACCCACACUUUCGAGCCUCAACGUCAGUUACAGUCCAGAAAGCCGCCUUCGCCACUGGUGUUCUUCCAUAUAUCUACGCAUUUCACCGCUACACAUGGAGUUCCACCUUCCUCUACUGCACUCAAGUCAUCCAGUUUCCAAAGCAAUUCCUCAGUUGAGCUGAGGGCUUUCACUUCAGACUUAAAUAACCGUCUGCGCUCGCUUUACGCCCAAUAAAUCCGGAUAACGCUUGGAACAUACGUAUUACCGCGGCUGCUGGCACGUAUUUAGCCGUUCCUUUCUGGUAAGAUACCGUCACACAUUGAACAGUUACUCUCAAUGUCAUUCUUCUCUUACAACAGUGUUUUACGAGCCGAAACCCUUCAUCACACACGCGGCGUUGCUCCAUCAGGCUUUCGCCCAUUGUGGAAGAUUCCCUACUGCUGCCUCCCGUAGGAGUAUGGGCCGUGUCUCAGUCCCAUUGUGGCCGAUCAGUCUCUCAACUCGGCUAUGCAUCAUUGCCUUGGUAAGCCAUUACCUUCCCAACUAGCUAAUGCACCGCGGGACCAUCUCUUAGUGAUAGCAGAACCAUCUUUUAAAUAACAACCAUGCGGUUGUCAUUGUUAUACGGUAUUAGCAUCUGUUUCCAAAUGUUGCCCCAUGCUAAGAGGUAGGUUUCCCACGUGUUACUCACCCGUUCGCCACUCUUUGCGAUGUCCAUCGUCAGAUCUGAGGCAAGCUCUUCAAAUCAGYUGAACCACAAAGCGUUCGACUKGCAUGUAUUAGGCAACGCCGCCAGCGUUCAUCGUGAGCCAUAAUCAAACUCUAAUCGAAUUCCCGCGGCCGCCAUGGCGGCCGGAGCUGGABCGC